UUCUGUUUGAUCCCGGCGGAAGCUACUGCUAUUGGGAUUCGAUUAAGCCAUGCGAGUUGAAUGAAUUUAGAUUCAUGGCGUACGGCUCAGUAACACGUGGAUAACUUACCCUUAGGACUGGGAUAACUCUGGGAAACUGGGGAUAAUACCGGAUAUUAGGCUAUGGCUGGAAUGCUUUGCCUUUGAAAUGUUUCUUGUAUUCGCCUAAGGAUAGAUCUGCGGCUGAUUAGGUCGUUGGUGGGGUAAUGGCCCACCAAGCCUAUGAUCGGUACGGGUUGUGAGAGCAAGAGCCCGGAGAUGGAACCCGAGACAAGGUUCCAGACCCUACGGGGUGCAGCAGGCGCGAAACCUCCGCAAUGUACGAAAGUGCGACGGGGGGAUCCCAAGUGUUAUUCUUAAUAGGAUAACUUUUCAUUAGUGUAAAAAGCUUUUAGAAUAAGAGCUGGGCAAGACCGGUGCCAGCCGCCGCGGUAACACCGGCAGCUCAAGUGGUAGCUGUUUUUAUUGGGCCUAAAGCGUUCGUAGCCGGUUUGAUAAGUCUUUGGUGAAAGCUUAUGGCUGAACUGUAAGAAUUGCUGAAGAUACUGUCAGACUUGAAGUCGGGAGAAGUUAGAGGUACUACCGGGGUAGGGGUGAAAUCCUAUAAUCCUGGGAGGACCACCUGUGGCGAAGGCGUCUAACUGGAACGAUCUUGACGGUGAGGUACGAAGGCCAGGGGCGCGGACCGGAUUAAUACCCCGGUAGUCCUGGCCGUAACCAUGUGGACUUGGGGUUGGAAUGGCUCCAGUUGUUCCAUGGCCAAAGGUAACUGUUAAUCCACCCCCGGGAA
RNAcentral lists this ribosomal RNA (829 nucleotides) under uncultured rumen archaeon. RNAcentral describes it as "bacterial SSU rRNA". It matches the Rfam family "Archaeal small subunit ribosomal RNA", at positions 1 to 834 of the family's 1478-position model. The record is from RNAcentral.